UGUCAUUCAUGUGCCAGAUUUCUGGAUGGAUUGUUUAUAUUUUUUUGAUAAUUUCCAAACUAAAAAAGAAACUAUCCAGUCGCUUUUACGCAUUAAAACAUCCAAAGUGCCCUGUUUUUAAUAAUAAAACCCGAAUAGGAAGCGCUUUGGUCUGUAACCACGGGUUUCUUAGGUAAAGAAGCCCCAAAUGGGGGUUAAACUUCAUGCAGUCCUUAAGGGGCUGCCAAAAGGAUGGGAAACUGCCUUUCCAGUUGUUUGCCGUCAUGCGGAAACCAAGGGGCUCCUUGCAAUUUUACCAUGCUCACGAAUUCCCGCAGUGAUUUCUCCUUCCUUAUUGAUGAGAGAACUUCUGAGGAGAACAACGAAAAAAGAAAAAGUCAGCCGGGGUUGUUGCAGGUUUGGUAAACCCUCAACUUUCUUACCAAAGACUUCCUGAAUCACAACGAGUUUCACCUCAAAGUUCCUAUGCUAGCAAAGAUAUACAGCUUCAGUGUCUGGAUGCCAGGGCUCUCUUA
RNAcentral lists this unclassified non-coding RNA (515 nucleotides) under Anthonomus grandis grandis. RNAcentral's name for it is "uncharacterized LOC126735757". Lineage: Eukaryota; Metazoa; Arthropoda; Insecta; Coleoptera; Curculionidae. The record is from RNAcentral.